This 436-nucleotide ribosomal RNA is filed under the name uncultured bacterium. RNAcentral's name for it is "partial 16S ribosomal RNA". It matches the Rfam family "Bacterial small subunit ribosomal RNA", at positions 29 to 507 of the family's 1533-position model. The record is from RNAcentral.
AACGAACGCUGGCGGCAUGCCUAACACAUGCAAGUCGAACGAGAUCCUUCGGGGUCUAGUGGCGCACGGGUGCGUAACGCGUGGGAAUCUGCCCUUAGGUUCGGAAUAACAGUUAGAAAUGACUGCUAAUACCGGAUGAUGACGUUAAGUCCAAAGAUUUAUCGCCUGAGGAUGAGCCCGCGUAGGAAUAGCUAGUUGGUGUGGUAAAGGCGCACCAAGGCGACGAUCCUUAGCUGGUCUGAGAGGAUGAUCAGCCACACUGGGACUGAGACACGGCCCAGACUCCUACGGGAGGCAGCAGUGGGGAAUAUUGGACAAUGGGCGCAAGCCUGAUCCAGCAAUGCCGCGUGAGAGAUGAAGGCCUUAGGGUUGUAAAGCUCUUUUACCCGAGAUGAUAAUGACAGUAUCGGGAGAAUAAGCCCCGGCUAACUCCGUG